AAUGAGUGGUUGAAGCCAUAAUAAAAUGUCUAGGGCGUGGGCAGGCACUGCAGGUGUAUCUGGGCAGCAGUGGUGGUGGCUGUGCUGUCCAUCGGGCGAGUGGUCUGAGAGUGUCUUUGUGCUUCCUCCUCAGGUGUCGAUUGACUGCCCGUGGUCCAUCUACUCCACGGUCAUCGCACUGACCUUCAGCGUACCCUUCAGGACCACGCACACCCUGCUGUCCUCAGGAACACGGAAAUAUGUUCAAGUUUGUGUCCAGAAUUUGUCAGAACUCGACUUUCAGCUGUCAGAUAGUUAUCUUGUAGAUACCGGUGAUAGUACCGACCUGCAACUAGUACCACUGAACACGCAGUCCCAGCAGCCCAUCUACAGCAAGCAGUCGGUGUUCUUCGUCUGGGAACUCAAGUGGACAGAAGAUCCUCCUCCUUCUCUGCACUGCCGGUUCUCUGUCGGAUUUUCCCCAGCUUGUGAGGAGCAGCUGUCUAUCUCCUUAAAGCCGUAUGCUUAUGAAUUUAAAGUGGAAAACUUUUUUACAUUAUACAACGUGAAGGCUGAGAUCUUUCCCCCUUCGGGAAUGGAGUAUUGCAGAACAGGCUCCCUCUGCUCCCUG
This 610-nucleotide small RNA is filed under the name Pongo abelii (Sumatran orangutan). RNAcentral's name for it is "processed transcript". The record is from RNAcentral. Lineage: Eukaryota; Metazoa; Chordata; Mammalia; Primates; Hominidae.